RNAcentral lists this ribosomal RNA (803 nucleotides) under uncultured soil archaeon. RNAcentral describes it as "bacterial SSU rRNA". It matches the Rfam family "Archaeal small subunit ribosomal RNA", at positions 77 to 865 of the family's 1478-position model. The record is from RNAcentral.
CUUGGCACACAGCUCAGUAACAUGUGGCCAACCUGCCCUUGGGACGGAAACACCCCCGGGAAACUGGGGCUAAUUUCCGAUAGGUGAAGACUCCUGGAAUGGAUUUUCGCUCAAAGGGCGCCUGGGGCAUGCUCCUAGGCGUUGCACAAGGAUGGGGCCGCGGCCGAUCAGGUUGUUGGUGAGGUAAUGGCCCACCAAGCCUUUAACCGGUACGGGCCGUGGGAGCGGUAGCCCGGAGAUGGGCACUGAGACAAGGGCCCAGGCCCUACGGGGCGCAGCAGUCGCGAAAACUUCGCAAUAAGCGAAAGCUUGACGGGGCCAUCCCGAGUGCCAUCUGCUGAGGAUGGCUUUUACCUAGUAUAGAUAGCUGGGGGAAUAAGGAGAGGGCAAGUCUGGUGUCAGCCGCCGCGGUAAUACCAGCUCUCCGAGUUGUAGGGAUGUUUAUUGGGCCUGAAGCAUCCGUAGCCGGCUGGACAAGUCCUCUGUUAAAUCCAGCGACCAAUCGUUGGUCUGCGGGGGAUACUGUCCGGCUAGGGGGCGGGAGAGGCCGUCGGUAUUCUUGGGGUAGGGGUGAAAUCCUAUAAUCCCAGGAGGACCACCAGUGGCGAAGGCUGUCGGCUAGAACGCGCCCGACGGUGAGGGAUGAAAGCUGGGGGAGCGAACCGGAUUAGAUACCCGGGUAGUCCCAGCUGUAAACGAUGCAGGCUAGGUGUUAGGGCGGCUACGUGCCGCUCUAGUGCCGCAGGGAAGCUGUUAAGCCUGCCGCCUGGGGAGUACGNCCGCAAGGCUGAACUUAAAGGCCA